GAUCAGACAACCCGCGAGGAUAUCAAAGAAACUUUCUCCCUUGAAACUUUCAAAGUUAGAUGGGUUGAUUUCAGCAUUGGUGAUAAAGAGGGGUUCAUUCGCUAUGAGAAUGAUGGUGAUGCCGAAAAGGUAUUGAAAGUUGUACUGGAGAAAAAUGAAAAUGAAGUAAACUUACGUGGUGUAGAAACAACUCUACGUGUGAUCGAAGGAGAUGAAGAGAAGGAUUACUGGAAGAAGUCGAAAGAGGAGUUUGACAAACAUCGUCAGAGAAAUAAGAGAUGUUUGAGGAAAGAGACAACAACACUGGAAACAUGGCAAACGAGGUAGACAUGAUGGCCAUUCAAAUGAUGAACCACCUGUAAAACAAGCUAAGCCAGACACCUAAGUAUAUCUAACAGUACUAUUUAUACAAAGUACCACUGUAUGACUAAAAUGUCCACAGUAUUUUGAGCACUGAGUCUGUCGUUUGGUAGAAUUUGUCAAGUGUUGUUCAUGUUGUGUUUUAUAUACCAAUAUGAAAUAAUGCAACUUGUUGUGAAUAUGAUUCUACACAAUUUGAAAUAAUUAUUUCAUAUUUUGUAACAAGAUAUAUAUAAAUGUUGCUUUACAACUAGUAUCCUUCAUUGGAAAAUGUUAUAGAUUUAUAUGAUGGGAAAAACUUCUUAAGUAUUCCUGUU
This is a long non-coding RNA of Dendronephthya gigantea, 677 nucleotides long. RefSeq lists it as uncharacterized. The transcript is spliced from 5 exons. NCBI's taxonomy places the organism in Eukaryota, Metazoa, Cnidaria, Anthozoa, Malacalcyonacea, Nephtheidae. The record is from RefSeq and is a predicted model, not a curated record.